This 73-nucleotide transfer RNA is filed under the name Collinsella sp. OF03-4AA. Its description in RNAcentral is "tRNA-Cys". It matches the Rfam family "tRNA". Rfam says of the family: Transfer RNA (tRNA) molecules are approximately 80 nucleotides in length. Their secondary structure includes four short double-helical elements and three loops (D, anti-codon, and T loops). Lineage: Bacteria; Bacillati; Actinomycetota; Coriobacteriia; Coriobacteriales; Coriobacteriaceae. The record is from RNAcentral.
GGCGAAGUGGCCAAGUGGUAAGGCAGAGGCCUGCAAAGCCUUUACCCCCGGUUCGAAUCCGGCUUCGCCUCCA